This 21-nucleotide unclassified non-coding RNA is filed under the name Mus musculus (house mouse). Its description in RNAcentral is "oocyte_clustered_small_RNA9124". The record is from RNAcentral. Lineage: Eukaryota; Metazoa; Chordata; Mammalia; Rodentia; Muridae.
UUUUGCCCUGGAUGUCCCUGC